RNAcentral lists this ribosomal RNA (406 nucleotides) under uncultured bacterium. RNAcentral describes it as "partial 16S ribosomal RNA". It matches the Rfam family "Bacterial small subunit ribosomal RNA", at positions 30 to 526 of the family's 1533-position model. The record is from RNAcentral.
AUUGAACGCUGGCGGCAGGCUUAACACAUGCAAGUCGAGCGAGCGGCGGACGGGUGAGUAAUGUCUGGGAAACUGCCUGAUGGAGGGGGAUAACUACUGGAAACGGUAGCUAAUACCGCAUACCAUCAGAUGUGCCCAGAUGGGAUUAGGUAGUAGGUGGGGUAAUGGUUCACCUAGGCGACGAUCACUAGCUGGUCUGAGAGGAUGACAAGCCAGACUGGAACUGUGAAACUGUCCAGACUCGUACGGGAGGCAGCAGUGGGGAAUCUUCCACAAUGGGCGCAAGCCUGAUUCAGCCAUGCCGUGUGUGUGAAGAAGGCCUUCGGGUUGUAAAGCACGUUCAGCGAGGAGGCGUUACUCGCAGAAGAAGCACCGGCUAACUCCGUGCCAGCAGCCGCGGUAAUUC